RNAcentral lists this ribosomal RNA (245 nucleotides) under uncultured bacterium. Its description in RNAcentral is "partial 16S ribosomal RNA". It matches the Rfam family "Bacterial small subunit ribosomal RNA", at positions 524 to 768 of the family's 1533-position model. The record is from RNAcentral.
UACAGAGGUCCCGAGCGUUGUUCGGAUUCACUGGGCGUAAAGGGCGCGUAGGUGGUUCGGUAAGUCUGAUGUGAAAUCCCAAAGCUUAACUUUGGAACUGCAUCGGAAACUACCGGGCUAGAGUCUGGGAGGGGGAAAUGGAAUUCUCGGUGUAGCGGUGAAAUGCGUAGAUAUCGAGAGGAACACCGGUGGCGAAAGCGAUUUCCUGGACCAGUACUGACACUGAGGCGCGAAAGCUAGGGGAG